UGGGGAAUAUUGCACAAUGGGCGCAAGCCUGAUGCAGCAACGCCGCGUGAACGAUGAAGGUCUUCGGAUCGUAAAGUUCUGUUGCAGGGGAAGAUAAUGACGGUACCCUGUGAGGAAGCCCCGGCUAACUACGUGCCAGCAGCCGCGGUAAUACGUAGGGGGCUAGCGUUAUCCGGAUUUACUGGGCGUAAAGGGUGCGUAGGUGGUCUUUCAAGUCGGUGGUUAAAGGCUACGGCUCAACCGUAGUUAGCCUCCGAAACUGGAAGACUUGAGUGCAGGAGAGGAAAGUGGAAUUCCCAGUGUAGCGGUGAAAUGCGUAGAUAUUGGGAGGAACACCAGUAGCGAAGGCGGCUUUCUGGACUGCAACUGACGCUGAAGCUCGAAGGUGCGGGUAUCGAACAGG
Molecule: ribosomal RNA, 403 nt
Filed under: Verrucomicrobiota bacterium
Lineage: Bacteria; Pseudomonadati; Verrucomicrobiota
Description: Verrucomicrobia bacterium partial 16S ribosomal RNA
Rfam family: Bacterial small subunit ribosomal RNA
Source: RNAcentral